Molecule: long non-coding RNA, 1532 nt
Organism: Tarenaya hassleriana
Lineage: Eukaryota; Viridiplantae; Streptophyta; Magnoliopsida; Brassicales; Cleomaceae
Exons: 3
Source: RefSeq, a predicted model, not a curated record
AGCUCCACAUCCGAUUCUCUCUCUCUUUUUCCCCUCUUCAGGGCUUUAAUUCCAGGGUUUCUAUCUCAGUCCCCGUUUUCUCCGCUUGAUACGAUCGGCGGCGGCGUGAUUCCCUCCCAGUCUCGCUAUACUGUAGUUAAAGUAUGGCAUUGGAAGUUACCCAGUUGCUCUUAGAUGCUCAGUCGAUUGACGGAACUGCGCGUAAGCAGGCAGAAAGAAAGUCUCAAGCAAUUUCAGGAGCAAAACCUUUCAGGUUUCUUGUUGUCCCUUGCUGGAGAGCUUGCAAACGAUGAGAAACCAGUCGAUAGCCGAAAAUUAGCAGGGUUGGUCCUGAAAAUUGCUCUCGAUGCAAAGGAACAGCACGGAAAGUAUGAGCUUGUCCAGACUCUAGAGAUGUAAGUUUCUUUUUGUUGUUGCACAGUGAUGUGUGUUGCCAGAGUUUAGAUCGAUGUUAAAUUAAUACAUAGUUUUGCCUAACCGGGAUGAGGUGGUGAUGAAGACUGCGAUUGGGGUCCUAGGAGAUUUAGCUGAAACACUAGGAAACCAUGUGGGUGCUUUGAUACAACAGUCUGGGCCGAGUAAAGAGUUCUUAAACGAAUGCCUGUCUUCUGAAGACCACAUGAUUAAAGAAGCUGCGGAAUGGACCAAGCGUGCUAUUAGCCGAGCAUUUUCCGUUUGAGGCUCUUUGCUGCUUGUGGCUUAGAACGCCAUUUUGUUUCUGCUCUUUUGGAAGAAAAGUCUGCAUACAUCUGGGUGGGUUGAGUUCAGUUAGAGUUGAGUUUGGCCGGGGUAGAGGGGGUUGCAUCAUCUUCACUUUCAUUGUCGGCGUCGUUGGGUCGGGCAUCUUUUUUGUCGAGGAGGAGGAAGAAGAAGGCGGGGUAUUAACUAGCGGGUGAAGGCGGUCCAAAGGGAAGAAUCUCUAGUCAUGGCCGGGGAAAGGAGUCGGGUGAAACGUUUUUCUCGUCAGGAGGGGAGGGGGGGAAGGAGUCUGGUUCGUUUGCAGAUGGUCGGACAAGUAAAACCAAAGUCAUACCAUGGAAAAGAAACAGCAUUUUGUUUCUAUUUCUCUUAUGCCAUGUUCUUCACCCGAAGAGGGGGGUCUGUUUUGAUAGUCACACACCACCCAAGAAUGGUUUUGAAGAAUUCCUAAGCAGAGAAUGGAUAAGAAGUUGAAUGGUGAAGAAAGGAGCAAAGAAGGGUCCCCCCAUCAUGACAGCCUGACAGGGAGCAAAGUGUACAUCAGCCCGGCUUCAAGAGCGUGGGAAAGGUCAUUUCUUUCGGUGAGCUUCGCUUUGAGAAAGGCCAAGUGAUGGAUAUCAUUUUCUUCCUCCAAAGAGUCACUCCUGUUGUAUGAUCAGUGAACAUUCUCACUCAUUCUCUUGGCCUUAUUGAUAAUCACGAGUAGCAAGUCCUUGUAUACAUACACAUAUACAUAUUAUUACUCCUGUCAUGAAAGAGAUCAACUUUACACCGUAUAAAUGCAUGGUAUUUGUAGAUUAUUGAAUGCCAAUAAUGGGUAUUCGUAUAUAUUA